ACAGACUUGACAUGAUACAACUGACAUUGACGGAGGCUGUAACUUUCACUUUUAAAGGGUUGGUGCGAGGAAUCACUCGUGCACAAAGGGUCCAUGCUACAUGCCAUGUUUUCAGGCAGAUUUGACACAAAACUUGGUGAGGAUGGAUCUUACUUCAUCGAUCGAGAUGGAACCCACUUCCGACAUAUCCUAAAUUAUCUUCGCACUGGAAAACUCGUUUUACCGACGAUACAGUCGUUCGCAAGGAGCUGUUAAACGAGGCGGAAUUCUAUCAAAUCGAUGGGAUACUCAAUGAGCUGAAAGCAAAGCCGUUUAAAGAUUCUGCAAUUCUCUCUUCAGAACAGCGCGAAACCCUGACAGACUGGCUGAAAGACACUCGCGAAAGCUUGAGCGACGAUUACGUGUUGUUAUAUCGAGCUUCUCGCAAUGGCUGGGCUGCCUCUAACUUUCAUUCCUGUUGUGAUAACAAAGGACCAACAGUUACUUUGGUAAAGAGUGGAAACUACAUAUUUGGAGGAUAUACUGCACAAUCAUGGCAAUCGUUAAGUACUGCAUUGUACAAAAGAGCUCCGGGUUCAGCCUUGUCAAUGCCAGUGGUCUGCCACCAACAAAGAUGCCUUUGAGAGGUGGUCAAGAAGGUAACGCCAUCUACUGUUACAGUAGCAAUGGUCCAACAUUUGGAACUGGACCUGACCUUUCCAUAUGCAACUCUCCAAAUUCUAACAACUGCUCUGUUAGCCUUCGUAACACGUACCAGUGCCCAGCCGGUCAGAACGGUAGCCUUUUUUUAACAGGGAAUCAAAACUUCACUGUGCAAGAGAUGGAAGUGUUUAAGUUCAAAAAUUAGAGGCGUUUUUGUCAUUUUUUCCCUUCCUGAUGAGAUUUCAGCUGAUUUUGUAAACGUUUGCUAGUGAGUAAAUUUCCUCAUGGUUAAAUCAUGUCCCUGAUCCUGGAUUUGAGAACUAAGAGGUUUUUAAAACUUUGUUAUUGGACUGAUCUGGUUUGUAAACAAUCGCUUUUUGUCUUUGAUUCUCGAGAUUUUGU
RNA transcript from Stylophora pistillata, 1044 nucleotides. It is a transcript of the gene named BTB/POZ domain-containing adapter for CUL3-mediated RhoA degradation protein 3-like, with no coding region annotated. The record is from RefSeq and is a predicted model, not a curated record. NCBI's taxonomy places the organism in Eukaryota, Metazoa, Cnidaria, Anthozoa, Scleractinia, Pocilloporidae.